RNAcentral lists this ribosomal RNA (406 nucleotides) under uncultured bacterium. RNAcentral's name for it is "bacterial SSU rRNA". It matches the Rfam family "Bacterial small subunit ribosomal RNA", at positions 354 to 776 of the family's 1533-position model. The record is from RNAcentral.
GUGGGGAAUAUUGCGCAAUGGGCGGAAGCCUGACGCAGCGACGCCGCGUGAGGGAUGAAGGCCUUCGGGUUGUAAACCUCUUUCAGCAGGGACGAAUUCAGACGGUACCUGCAGAAGAAGCACCGGCCAACUACGUGCCAGCAGCCGCGGUAAUACGUAGGGUGCAAGCGUUGUCCGGAAUUAUUGGGCGUAAAGAGCUCGUAGGCGGUUUGUCGCGUCGGCUGUGAAAACUCGGGGCUCAACCCCGAGCCUGCAGUCGAUACGGGCAGACUAGAGUGCUGUAGGGGAGACUGGAAUUCCUGGUGUAGCGGUGAAAUGCGCAGAUAUCAGGAGGAACACCGGUGGCGAAGGCGGGUCUCUGGGCAGUAACUGACGCUGAGGAGCGAAAGCGUGGGGAGCAAACAGG